Molecule: ribosomal RNA, 450 nt
Filed under: uncultured bacterium
Lineage: Bacteria
Description: bacterial SSU rRNA
Rfam family: Bacterial small subunit ribosomal RNA
Source: RNAcentral
AACAAACGCUGGCGGCAUGCCUAACACAUGCAAGUCGAACGAAGCCUUCGGGCUUAGUGGCGCACGGGUGCGUAACGCGUGGGAAUCUGCCCUUGGGUUCGGAAUAACAGUUAGAAAUGACUGCUAAUACCGAAUGAUGUCUUCGGACCAAAGAUUUAUCGCCCAAGGAUGAGCCCGCGUCGGAUUAGCUAGUUGGUGAGGUAAAGGCUCACCAAGGCGACGAUCCGUAGCUGGUCUGAGAGGAUGAUCAGCCACACUGGGACUGAGACACGGCCCAGACUCCUACGGGAGGCAGCAGUGGGGAAUAUUGGACAAUGGGCGAAAGCCUGAUCCAGCAAUGCCGCGUGAGUGAUGAAGGCCUUAGGGUUGUAAAGCUCUUUUACCCGAGAUGAUAAUGACAGUAUCGGGAGAAUAAGCUCCGGCUAACUCCGUGCCAGCAGCCGCGGUAAU